AUCCCCAAUGAACACCUGCCGGGACCACCCAAGCACACACAUGCAGGAAUACAUCCAAACGUACUACUCGUAGAUUUGACAAUAAAUCACGAAGAAGACCAUCACAACUAAGCUGCAGUAAUGUCAGUUGUUUUUUGCAGAAGAUAAAGACAAUAUGCCAAGGAGUCCUGUUACAUGAUCUGUCCAUAUUUGUUGUGUACGGUUUGUAUUUAAAUUGCAGUUGUUUAAAGGUUUAAAACUACCUCAACAUUGAUGCUAUUUUGUUAGCUCAUCGAUGAUGUUUCACAUUAUGUGUAACAAUUUAUGCUUACACGGAAUGCUAAGACAAAGUUAAGUGGUUUGGCUAAACACAUGACCUAUCUUUUUUUUUUGCUUGCAACACAAUGCAAAAAAAUUUACCAAGUGAUGGUUCAAAACUCAAACAACUUGAAAGCUGGGGUAAGUCAAGGUACCACUGUACUUAGAUGCUAAUAUUGCGCAUCAUAAGGAUUGCAACAUUUUGCAAGUUGUUUGUUGGGGAUGUUUUGUUUACCUCAGUGUUGUUGUUGCACGAGUGAAGAAUCUCCUGGAAUGGACACACACGAACACACACACACGCACACACACACACACACCCACACGCACACGCGCACACACACACACACAAAUGAAUAUAUGUGAGGACACAACACAAAAAGGCAUUGAUUCUGGACACUUCAAGAAUUAGUAAAAGUACUAUUACUCUAUUAGAAAGAGUAGUGAUCAAUCUAUAGGCCAAAAGCUAACAAUAUGGACUUUUGAGCAUUGUAUGUGUCUCAUUGUUAAAUUCUUAAAUUCAGUCAAAGAAUUGAGAAGAAGUAGAAGAGCGCCACCUGCAGUCUGUGUGUCCUCUCAGCAUCCGUCUUCAGGUCCAGAAGAUCGUCGAUGUUCACCUCCUCGGGCAUGUCCUCCUCCUGAUCAUCAUCAUCAUCAUCAUCAACAACACCAAAGGUCAGUCUAUCAUAAUUUCCUCACAACAGCCGAACGUGCUAAAAGUGCCAAAUAUACUAUUGCACUUCCUCAGGGAGCCCACAGGGGGAGACAGACUCAACAGAAGGGAGAUGAAAGAAGGUCGCAGGUACGUUUAAUUAUUUCAUUGACUCAGGCGUGCAGAUGGAAGCGUGUUUACCUUUCUCACACUCGCGCACACACAGAGGUGCAGUGUGGGUUUAUUUGCCAUUCCUUUGCUACAUGACUUUCCUGUGACAUUCUCCGUCUGUUCUUUCCAUAUAAGGUCAGUAGCCAAGGACACGUGUGUGACAGAUGAGUGUGUGCUGGGUACAUGUUCGUGCGUGUCAAAACAGGGUAUAUAUGUUGAUUACUCAUAAGUGAGGGUCUCACCAACUGUGAUAUUAUUAUUGCAACAAACACGGCUUGUGAUCACAAAACUUUCUCACCAAAAUCAUCAGAGGUGUGUGUUUGGAUGCUAGUACUAGGCUCCGCCCCCCUGUUGUUUAUCUGCUGCAGUCUUCAGUGUGAUGUCAUCACGUCCAACUGAUGAAGUGUGCGCAUGUUCAGAUUAGCAUUCAGAGACUGAUUUGUGGUGUCAGCAAGUGUUGUUUUACACACACACACACACACACACACACACACACACACACACACACACACACGCACACUCACACUAAGCUGUGUGUUGGUCCAUAAUAGAAGCUCCAUUUGACCUCGUUAGGUUAAUGCUGACUUCUUUGUGUGCAUCUGUGUGAGUUGUGUAUACGAGUGUGUAUGGUGUGGGGGAAGGUACAAACUAGGAAACACACCACGCUGCAACAAAAGACAAAAACACACGCCCGCAUUCAUCGUGUACACGUUUUAACAUCACAAGUAGUAGUAGAAGUACCUUAGUAAUAUUAGUAGUGGUGUACCAUUACUAGUGAUAACAGUAGCAGUUGCAGUAAGAGGUGGAGUAACAAUAGAAGCGCCCGCUGGAGUCGGACAAGUACCAGUGAUAGUAUAGUCAUAGGAGUCGGUAGUGGUGUAAAUAGUAGUCUAGUAGUAGUAGUAGUAGUACAGUAAUACUAAAAACAGCAGUUGUAUUCGCAGUAGUAGCGUAUCUGCGUGUGUGAAUGUGCAUAUGGGGAAAUGAAUGGGGGCCAUCAAGAAGGGUCCAUAUAUCACAACUGACGGACACACGAUCGCCCCCACGCCCCCCCCCACACACACAACACAGACAGAUGUCAAGCUAAUAAAUCAAUAGCACUAAUAGCUGUUAGCAUCUGUCUUUUUCUUUGUCUGCUUCCAGUUGGUCUUUAUUUGCGUGUGAGAGGCUUCCCCAAUUGGCUGCCCCGUUGUUUCAUUGGUUGAUGACUAGUUGAACAAAAACUCUCAUCGCCAUUAUGACAUCACCAAUGGAACAUCAUCACCUUAGCGGCGAUUGUUCGUGUGUCAUCACCAGUGUGUGUACGUUUAUUGUACGCACUGAUGGAUUAGUGCAAGCAUGUGCGUGUGUGUCUGUGUGCAUUUGGGUGUAUGUAUUAAUAUGUGUGAGGAUUGUGUAUAUUUAUCUGUAAGUGUCUAUUUGUCUGUAGUGAUGUGUACCUCUGGAGACUAAAAAAAAUGUGUGUGUGUGUGUGCUGCCAUAGCUGGAGCUUGAUACACACAGCAGUAGACGAAGCAUCUGGAGUUUGUGUACAAAUUGUCACAACAUUCUCAGCUGUAUGUGCAUGUUAUGUGCCCAGAUGGAAUGUUUGACAGGAAAUGAAGCAAUCAGGGCAGAUGUAAUUAUCUAUUUAUCACUGGACACAUGAACACACACACACACAUUCACACUAACAGACAGUACACACGCACGCACACGCAUGCUUUAACUGGGUAACAUCAGGGGACAAAUAAUUGUCUUCCUCUGGCUCCUUACCUUCAUCUAUUAUGCAUCACAGAGUGUGUGGGUGUGUGUGUGUGUUUGUGUGUCUAAGAUGAACAAAGACAACCAUUUGGACACUCAAAUUAUCAAUCUAAAAGCCCGGUGUGACUUUUUCUUGUUUCUGUCACGUUUAUAACCUCGCCCACAUUUGAUCAAAGAUGGACCGCAUAAAAAAAAAAAGGAAUGAAGGGAAAGGAAAACGGUUGAUGUGAUUCGAGUACAUUUCAAAUGAAUACGGGCCUCAAAAUGAACUUUCGAGAAGUAGUAUUACUACUCGUAGCAGUAAUAUUACUAAUAUGUAGAAGUGGAGAUUGUAGUUGUAAUAGAAAUUCAAGUGUGUUACAAUAUUAUUUUCGUGUUUUUAAUACUGUAGUAGUCGUAGUCGCGGGCAGAUGGCUGCAUUAUUAAAAGUAAGACUGCAGUCGUAACAAUGUUCUUCCGAUGAGCAGUCGCGGUUGUAGUCGAAGUCUUGGUAGUGAAGCAGUAGUUGUCGUAGUAAUCGUGUGUUGAAGAAGCAGUAGCGGUGCCGUUUGUAUAUCAUGGCAUGACUAAAAACUGCGGUGAGAGUAGUAGUACAAGUGGUGCGUAGUUGUGCUCGCAGUCAUGUAGUUGGUGUAAUAGCUGUAGGGAUACUUGUACUUGGAGUAUAUACGUCAUUCGGAUACGACGCAACAAUAAAAAGUCUCGAGCCGACCACGGCGGGUGGCAACCUAACGGCAACUGACCAAAAUGUCCUCGGUGUGAUGUCAGAAAGUACUACUUGGAUGUCUGCACAGCUACACACGCACACGCACACCCACACACCGCCUGCAGCUGUGUCUGCGCUGUCAGCUCCACUUUGUGUCCACCCUGAACACGGCAAACACUCUUCCAAUCCUCUGUGAGACCUUUCACAAUGUUGGACUUUUUUUUUUUGAUCGAACAAACAAUUUAUCUUCAUACUCUGAUACAAAAUAAAACAAUUCCAUCUGCACAGUUUAUAUUCAAAUGGCUUCUUGUUUUUCAGGGCAUUCAUACAAUAUGACACUAAUAGUAUCGAUGUGUCUGUCACGGAUGGAUGGAUGGAUGGAUGGAUGGACCUCGUCAUUAAAAAUAGCAUAAUAGUAGUAGUAAAAUAAUAAUAGCAGUCCAAAGGUGCAAUGAUGAAUCGACAACCAAUCCAUCAUCAAAUUAAUCAAUAAAUAUUUUGGAUCAUGGAUUAACUGCUAAAAGAUCUUUCAUUCAAUUAAAACUGUCCAAAUCCUUGACAUUUUAGUCUCUCAACAGUAUAUCUUCUCAGAUUUCUGGAAUCCUCUGUGAAAGCAGACUGUUGAUCUGAUCUUCUUUUGGUUUCUUUUUUUUUUUUUGCAAACAGUAGUACUGGUAGAACUAAUUGUAGAAGUAGUAGUCGUAGUUGUGUGGUGAUAAUUGUUUGUGAUUGUUUUAGUAAUUGCGGUCAAAGUGUAGUGUGUUAGUAGUAGAAAGUAGGAAUUGUAAUAGAGUAGUAUUUGUAGUAUUUCAAAAAAUGAAUGGAUGGAUGGUAGUAGGUUUAGGACUCCACAUUUAGAUUUGUCUGUCAGAGAGUUUCCUUCUCUCUGUGCUGCUGUUUUGGUUGGCAACGGCAGUUCAUCAGGGCCACGACAGCACAGCACGUAGUCGGUACUCACCCGGCCCCUGUAGAGCUCGUCCAGGCCGCAGUCGAUCCACUUCUCCACGUCCAGCCUCCUCUGGAGCUCUUUGCGAUUGUACUUGACAGUAACUCGAGCCUGGCGCCUCUGCAGGCUGUGGCCGCCCGGCUCGCGCCCGCCGCCUCCCCCGCGGGCCCGGUUGGGCGACUGGUGGUUGCACACCUUGUUGACCCGCCGCCCCACCCGGUUCGCCGCCAUCAGACGCAAAAACGUAAAGAAUGGCUUAAGUAUUGGUUAUGUAAAAUUAAUAGAUAAAUAAAAAUAACAACAGAAACUACCACAGUGGGUCUAAAUUUUAGGUCAGGUGGGAACAAAACUGAGUAUGACAGUGUAAAAAAAUACUGAAAAAUUAAUGUAUGAAAUUACGAGAUGCGAUGAUGUGUCCGGCGCAUGCACACACACACAGGACUUGGGAGGCAAA
This is a long non-coding RNA of Hippocampus zosterae (dwarf seahorse), 4966 nucleotides long. RefSeq lists it as uncharacterized. NCBI's taxonomy places the organism in Eukaryota, Metazoa, Chordata, Actinopteri, Syngnathiformes, Syngnathidae. The transcript is spliced from 2 exons. The record is from RefSeq and is a predicted model, not a curated record.